GUGCUCACUUCAGCAGCACAAACACUAAAAUUGGAAGGAUAUGGAGAUUAGCUUGGCCCCUGCGCAAGGAUGAUGUGCAAAUUCGUGAAGCAUUCCAUAUUUUA
Camelus dromedarius (Arabian camel) is the source of this 104-nucleotide small nuclear RNA. The record is from Ensembl. Lineage: Eukaryota; Metazoa; Chordata; Mammalia; Artiodactyla; Camelidae.